Molecule: ribosomal RNA, 255 nt
Filed under: uncultured bacterium
Lineage: Bacteria
Description: partial 16S ribosomal RNA
Rfam family: Bacterial small subunit ribosomal RNA
Source: RNAcentral
UACAGGGGGGGCAAGCGUUAUCCGGCAUUAAUUGGCGUAAAGGGUACGUAGGCGGCCUUACUGAAAUUGCAAGGGAAAUCCUGGUAUUCGAAUAACAGAAGUCUUUGCAAUAGUACGUGGCUCGGGUUUAUCAAAGGUUGGGGGAAUUUGUGGAGUAGAGGUAAAAUUCAACGAUACCAUAAAGAACAUCAGAGGUGAAGACGCCUUUCUAGGGUAAACUGACGCUGAGGUACGAAGGUUUAGGGAGCAAACGGG